CAGGCCACCAGAUACCAGCUUCAUCUGGGCAAAGAGCUCAGCAGGGGACGGUGGAUCAGCAGGUUGUAGGACACGGAGUGAGAAAAUUGACCUAUAGUCCCACCUGCAGUGGAAACUGUUACUACAGCUGGUUCAGACUACGCUGGAUCUCAGACUACCGGUACACAGAUGGAGGUUACUGGCAGAUUUCAACUUACAUGGGAUGUUCAGCUACUGCCACAGUUUGGAUCGAAUCCACCAGUUCCUCUGAUCAGGAUAGAUACUCCUGUAAUAUCAAUAACUACAUCCGGCCUCCUUCAUACUGUGAACUGGGUGAGAAGCAGUGGGGAGUGACUUACACUCCUGAUAGUGUGUGUGCUCUGGAAGGUUCAUCAGUUGAUCUCUCCUGCUCUUAUAAACACCCUGGAGGACUCAC
Long non-coding RNA from Astyanax mexicanus (Mexican tetra), 415 nucleotides. RefSeq lists it as uncharacterized. The record is from RefSeq and is a predicted model, not a curated record. Lineage: Eukaryota; Metazoa; Chordata; Actinopteri; Characiformes; Acestrorhamphidae. The transcript has 3 exons.